CUAGUGAGUAUCUGAGGCUGGAUUUGAACUUGGGGAGAUGAAUCUUCCUGACUCCAGGUCCCGCAGUGGGCUGUGCCACUCAACUUUCUUACCAGUUCUCUUAGUCAUUUCCAUCCUCAUUUGCACUGCGUUGGUGUUAUUUGUGUAAAAUACAUUUUAUAGGAUCAAUUUUAUAAGAUGUCAUCUGUGAUCCUCUCCAGCCCUUUGGUCAUUAACUCUUCCCCACUUCACUUUGUCUGCUGUGACCUUUUUUAUCUGAACCAUGUGCCCAUUUGGACUUUGUCUUGGUCAACAACCAUAGCGAUGCCACAUUUUAGUAAAGCCACUGACACUCGAGAGAACAUUCGAAGAAAGUGACCAGGAUCGUCAUAACAACAAUAGCCCUUUAAAAGGUGUGCUCAGCAGACCCUGGGGUUAGGCGCUAUAUCCCCAAUGUACAGAUGAGAAAAGUGAGGCAGACAGGUGAAGUGACUUGCCUAGGGUCGUCCAGCUAGUAAGCGUCUGAGGCUACAUUGUGUCUCCCGGUCCAGCGCUCCCUGUGCUGCCCAACAGUAACUGAUUUGACAGCCCGCAGCCCACCAGCUGUCCUCGGCAUGCUCACAAGUGGUCCCGCCAAUGCACUACACUUCCCAGAAGGCGUUGCCAGGGCAGCGCGAGGUUGCCAUGGAAGCAGUGAAAAGCGGGCCCAUGACGGUGCAUAGAGUCUUCACCCGAUUGGUCCCCCGGCGCCGAGGGGUGAUGUCACAUCCGCUCCCUUUCUGUUGUGGACGUAGUCGCUAAAACCUUGGCUACGCUCCGUUUCAACAGUCGCCGAGGCCGGAGCCCUGCAUCCUGAGGACGAGGUCGAAUUGGGCAGCAGAAGAUGACCUCUGUGCUCCUUUACCUGGGACCCCACAGGAGAAGAAACUGAGACAGACAAAGUGACUUGUAUGGAGUCACACAGCUGGUGGCUGAGGCCAGAUUUGAACUUGGGUCUUCCUAACUCCAAAAUCAGCACUCUUCACUCUGCCACCUAUGAAGACAUACUAUGAGAUUCCCUGGGGAAGAACCCGAUCAACGGAACAGACUAGAAACACAACAUCAAGAACCAGCCCAGGUGCUAGAGCCAGUCUGGGUCACUGGUACGCUGGAAACCUGGUCUCCAGGUCAGCUCUUCUCCUCUGGGCUAAGCUAUCUCAUCAGAAGUCAUAGUAUAAACAAUCAAAGGAGCAGGGAGAGAGAUAUCCAUCACAAUAUGAACAGAAGACCUAAGACAGGACAGAAAGGAUCACGGAAGAUUACUGAAAUGUUUGAUUACAAAAAAAUGGGAGGUCUGUGAAAGGAAACCUAAUAAUAAACUAGUGUUUUGGAGCGCUCUUUCACAUGGUUGGUCACAGAUUUCAAGUCUCAUUUUGAGAAGUUUUUGUUCACCCGACACACGCGUCCAUCAUGCUUGGCUCCGAAACAGAGAUGAAGAAGAAGUGUCCCCCUGGCCCCACUCCCUCCCUCCCUCCAUGAGGAACGUGGAAGAUGACUCGCACUGUAAGGCGUGCCAGGUUUUGCUGAACUACCUUUUUCCUCUUUAAAAAAAAAAAUCUCUGUUAUGAGGGGAUAACUCACUGAGUAUGAGAUGGCAGGAGGACAUGUCAAGAAUAAAGAUGAUGUAAAAACAAAGGAUCCCAAUAAAAAUAAGAGUUUAAAAUGA
This is a long non-coding RNA of Phascolarctos cinereus (koala), 1684 nucleotides long. RefSeq lists it as uncharacterized. The record is from RefSeq and is a predicted model, not a curated record. NCBI's taxonomy places the organism in Eukaryota, Metazoa, Chordata, Mammalia, Diprotodontia, Phascolarctidae.